RNAcentral lists this non-coding RNA (28 nucleotides) under Rattus norvegicus (Norway rat). The record is from RNAcentral. Lineage: Eukaryota; Metazoa; Chordata; Mammalia; Rodentia; Muridae.
UGUCUAUCAUGUAGGGUUCCAAAGCUGG